AUCAUUACAGAGUUUUCCAAACUCCCAACCCUAUGUGAACUUACCUUUGUUGCUUCGGCGGCGGAGGCUACCCUAUAGGGGAUACCACAUAGUGGUUACCCUGUAGUCCCAGGUGCUAGAUCGUGCUCAACGUCUUAUCGUCUACGACUAGCUACCCGGUGGCCCCCCCCGCCGGCGGCCAACUAAACUCUGUUUUUAUGGCAUUCUGAAUUAUAAACUUAAUAAGUUAAAACUUUCAACAACGGAUCUCUUGGUUCUGGCAUCGAUGAAGAACGCAGCGAAAUGCGAUAAGUAAUGUGAAUUGCAGAAUUCAGUGAAUCAUCGAAUCUUUGAACGCACAUUGCGCCCAUUAGCAUUCUAGUGGGCAUGCCUGUUCGAGCGUCAUUUCACCACUUAAGCCCUGUUGCUUAGCGUUGGGAGCCUACGGCACUGCCCGUAGCUCCCUAAAGUGAUUGGCGGAGUUGGUUCUCACUCUAGGCGUAGUAAAUCUAUCUCGCCUCUGUAGUGGUUCCGGCCCCUGCCGUAAAACCCCCUAUAUCAAAGGUUGACCUCGGAUCAGGUAGGAAUACCCGCUGAACUUAAGCAUAUCA
Molecule: ribosomal RNA, 590 nt
Rfam family: 5.8S ribosomal RNA (bases 231-384)